ACACUGCGAGAAAGCGGUCGCACAGGUAGGGUGGAGAGAGGCAGGCUGAGCGAGGUCAAAGUCCUGGAAACGCUCACAGCAGGGCACAGAGGACCCCGCCAAUUCCAACCCCCGGGAUGCGAGCACAGCACCCCCAUCCCAGAAAGCUUCCGUGGACGGGAAAAAAACCCCAUUCCCCGCCCCCACCAAACCUCCGCUCUCCGCCAAGGCUUCUUUUCCCUUGCUUGGAUCAUCGAUCAUCGGGUCGUUGCGACCCCAAGCGAAGGUGACAAGUUCAGAAGGACCCGCCAGACGCAGAAAUGGCUCAAACUACGCGGUUAUGUAGCAACCGCAGGCUCACACACCGGAAGUGCUCGCGUCUCCACAGAGCGUCUGGACUCCACUUCCCAGAAUUCCCCGGUUCAACUGCUUGAGCCAAAGGGUCCGCCAUUCCAUGAAGUUGAUGGACUACAGUUCCCAGAAUUCACUCGUCCACCCGCCUGAGCCAACUUGCCCGCGACUCAGAGUGUGUCUGGACUCCGCUUCCUCCAAUGCCAAAGGAAAAUGUCUAUAAUCUCACUCUUCAGCGGGAAGCGUUGGACUCCGCGGUGGUCCUUGACUACACACACCGCAGUGCCCACCGGGAACGUAUUCCAUAUCUCUGAGCGCCUGGUGGGGAAUGUGGACUGUGACCCUGUGAGUCGUCCGUCUCUCUUCCUGAGUCUUUGAGCGAAAAUAGUGUAUAGACAGGAAUUCCUGAAGUCUAAACGCCUCCCACGAUGACAGGAGUGUUAUUGGGAAGAGAACAAACGAGGAGAUAAAAUCUUCAAGGAUUAGGAUAAUCUGACGAUGGGAGGUUAAAACUAACGGUUUAAAGGAUGAGCCAGGUGGAAUGGUUUGGCAGGGGCAAUGAGGAGCAGGAAGACACCAGCCCCUACUCCAGAAGCUGUGGGACCACUGGUUUGGCAGGAAAAGCCACCCCCAUUUAAGAUCACAGCUACUAGUGGAGAAGCGGUGUCGUCAUGGAAUAGCUAUCUUCCCAUAAACUUUUCAUGGACUGGAUGAAAUGUAUCAUCAGCAUGGAUUCUGUGAUAAAUUACAAGAUACAAACUCAAAAGGAACUGCUUUCUAUGUGCCUCAUAUUUUAAUGUUUCUCCCCUUUGUGAAUGCUUAGGUGAGACUGUAGUCAUGAAAACUGAGUAAAGACUUUAUUACACACAUUACUGAGGCUUCUCUCCAAUGUGGACAUUCUGAAGUUGAAGACUUGAGGCCUGAAUGAAGCACAUACCACCCUCCUCAUACUUCCGUAGUUUCUCUCCCGUGUGGAGCUUCUGAAGCAUAAUAAAAUUCAAGUGAUCCAGC
This 1341-nucleotide long non-coding RNA is filed under the name Homo sapiens (human). Its description in RNAcentral is "ZNF230 divergent transcript". The record is from RNAcentral. Lineage: Eukaryota; Metazoa; Chordata; Mammalia; Primates; Hominidae.